Molecule: long non-coding RNA, 983 nt
Organism: Esox lucius (northern pike)
Lineage: Eukaryota; Metazoa; Chordata; Actinopteri; Esociformes; Esocidae
Source: Ensembl
AGAUUCUGGAAGACACCAGCUGAAUCCGGAAGCCACCAACUGAGCCAGCCCUGACCUACAUCCUUCCCUCCCCUUGAGACCAAAUCAAGGGAGGUACUUAAGGGGUGCCAGAAAGCAGAGGGAUGGACUACGAAUUAAGCAACGCCCUCAGCUUGCAGCUGAGGCCAAAACGACAGAAGAUGUCCAGAAGUUGGAAGGUGCUGGAGCAGCUCCAACCACCCGCGGCCAUUUCUGGCCAGGAGAUGGGCCUCCGGUAACUGACGCAGAAGCCUCAGGAAUACGCCUCACCAUUGAACUCCCAAACAAGUUAUUUCUAUUGUUGGAGGCAGAGAAGAUGAAGACAACAUUCAAGAUGGUGCUGUGACACCAUCUACAUCCAUGGCCAACGCAAAAGACAGAGGCACAAUCUUAUCUUCAGCCUGAAGUUUUUCCUGAGUUUCCUGAACACAUCCCGGCUGAAUCUCCAACCACUUACACCUGCUGCGAUCUGCACACCCGAUCCUGAUUACUAUUGCCUGCACCAUAUAAGCCACGACCAGACAUCCAUUCCCUGCCGGAUCGUUAGCGUAACCACACAUUUUGGAUCAGCCCACCUCCAGUCUUCCAGCCUCACUCCCUGCCGACCAACGAAACCUAAUCGUUUUCCCACAUUCAAUUCCAAAUACUCACCUUGUAUUUUCUACUUACCUCAUCCUGGUCUGCUUUUGGGUUCCAAAAAGACUUAUCGUGACAAUAAUGGAUUAUAAAAAAUAAAGUUUAAUAACUGGAGCAUCCUUCCUCUGAACACGACACUUGAGGUCAAGGAAUAUGUAUUCAUCUGUUUUCGGUUUGGUAGAGAAGCCACAGGUGGACUUGAUUCCUCCUGUGGCAUAUUCACCUGUUUAUAUAAGGCCCCACCCUUCACAAUGCAUGUCAAACCAAAAACCUAGUAAUUAAGUCCAAAAAAAUCAAUUAAUAGAGGUGGCUGUUCAGCCAGACUAAAC